This 500-nucleotide ribosomal RNA is filed under the name uncultured bacterium. RNAcentral describes it as "partial 16S ribosomal RNA". It matches the Rfam family "Bacterial small subunit ribosomal RNA", at positions 30 to 523 of the family's 1533-position model. The record is from RNAcentral.
AUUGAACGCUGGCGGCAUGCCUUCCACAUGCAAGUCGAACGGCAGCACGGACUUCGGUCUGGUGGCGAGUGGCGAACGGGUGAGUAAUGUAUCGGAACGUGCCCAGUCGUGGGGGAUAACGUAGUGAAAAUUACGCUAAUACCGCAUACGAUCUAUGGAUGAAAGCGGGGGAUCGCAAGACCUCGCGCGAUUGGAGCGGCCGAUAUCAGAUUAGGUAGUUGGUGGGGUAAAGGCCCACCAAGCCAACGAUCUGUAGCUGGUCUGAGAGGACGACCAGCCACACUGGAACUGAGACACGGUCCAGACUCCUACGGGAGGCAGCAGUGGGGAAUUUUGGACAAUGGGCGAAAGCCUGAUCCAGCCAUUCCGCAUGCAGGAUGAAGGCCCUCGGGUUGUAAACUGCUUUUGUACAGAACGAAAAGGUUUCUACUAAUACUAGGAGCUCAUGACGGUACUGUAAGAAUAAGCACCGGCUAACUACGUGCCAGCCGCCGCGGUAA